RNAcentral lists this ribosomal RNA (497 nucleotides) under uncultured bacterium. Its description in RNAcentral is "partial 16S ribosomal RNA". It matches the Rfam family "Bacterial small subunit ribosomal RNA", at positions 28 to 507 of the family's 1533-position model. The record is from RNAcentral.
GAUGAACGCUGGCGGCGCGCCUAAUACAUGCCAGUCGAGCGAACAGACGAGGAGCUUGCUCCUCUGACGUUAGCGGCGGACGGGUGAGUAACACGUGGAUAACCUACCUAUAAGACUGGGAUAACUUCGGGAAACCGGAGCUAAUACCGGAUAAUAUAUUGAACCGCAUGGUUCAAUAGUGAAAGACGGUUUUGCUGUCACUUAUAGAUGGAUCCGCGCCGCAUUAGCUAGUUGGUAAGGUAACGGCUUACCAAGGCAACGAUGCGUAGCCGACCUGAGAGGGUGAUCGGCCACACUGGAACUGAGACACGGUCCAGACUCCUACGGGAGGCAGCAGUAGGGAAUCUUCCGCAAUGGGCGAAAGCUUGACGGAGCAACGCCGCGUGAGUGAUGAAGGUCUUCGGAUCGUAAAACUCUGUUAUUAGGGAAGAACAAAUGUGUAAGUAACUAUGCACGUCUUGACGGUACCUAAUCAGAAAGCCACGGCUAACUACGUG